AGUGAACGCUGGCGGUGGGCCUAACACAUGCAAGUCGAACGGCAGCACAGUAAGAGUUUGCUCUUACGGGUGGCGAGUGGCGGACGGGUGAGGAAUACAUCGGAAUCUACUUUUUCGUGGGGGAUAACGUAGGGAAACUUACGCUAAUACCGCAUACGACCUACGGGUGAAAGCAGGGGAUCUUCGGACCUUGCGCGAUUGAAUGAGCCGAUGUCGGAUUAGCUAGUUGGCGGGGUAAAGGCCCACCAAGGCGACGAUCCGUAGCUGGUCUGAGAGGAUGAUCAGCCACACUGGAACUGAGACACGGUCCAGACUCCUACGGGAGGCAGCAGUGGGGAAUAUUGGACAAUGGGCGCAAGCCUGAUCCAGCCAUACCGCGUGGGUGAAGAAGGCCUUCGGGUUGUAAAGCCCUUUUGUUGGGAAAGAAAAGCAGCAGGUUAAUACCCCGCUGUUCUGACGGUACCCAAAGAAUAAGCACCGGCUAACUUCGUG
Molecule: ribosomal RNA, 492 nt
Filed under: uncultured bacterium
Lineage: Bacteria
Description: partial 16S ribosomal RNA
Rfam family: Bacterial small subunit ribosomal RNA
Source: RNAcentral